Molecule: long non-coding RNA, 819 nt
Filed under: Ananas comosus (pineapple)
Lineage: Eukaryota; Viridiplantae; Streptophyta; Magnoliopsida; Poales; Bromeliaceae
Description: long non-coding RNA (ACOM_LNC026271)
Source: RNAcentral
UAUGAUCAGACUGAAUUAUUUUUAGGGCAUGUUUGGUUCAUGAUUAGAAUAGCAAUAGGAAAUGGAAUUGGAUUGCUUUGGAAUGAAAAAUGGAAUGAUGAAUCAUUCAAAAAUAUUUGAUUCAUUAUUGGAAUGAAAAUCGGAAUAAAAAUUAAAAAUUUUUGAGAGAGGGUUUUGAUUAAGAGAGAGAAAAGUGAUGAAGGGAGAGGAGGUAGGUGUUGAUGAAAGAGGAUUUUGAAUAGUUUACUUUGGUAUGAGCCAAUCCGGGAUUCAAAGCCGGAUUGGAUCAUAAGGGCAUGUUUGGUUCAUGAUUGGAAUAGAAAUGGAAAAUAAAAUUGGAUUGCUUUGGAAUGGAAAAUAGAAUGACGAAUCAUCCAAAAAUGUUUGGUUCAUUAUUGGAAUGGAAAUCGGAAUGAAAAUUUAAAAUUUUUGAGAGAGGGUUUUGAUUAAGAUAGAGGAAAGUGAUGAAGGGAGAAGAGGUAGGUGUUGAUGAAAGAGAAUUUUGAAUAGUUUACUUUGGAAUGAGCCAAUCUGGAAUUCAAAGUCGGAUUGGAUCAUAAAUGGAUUUGACCAUUCCCAUUCCAAAGUGGAAUGGUCGGAAUCCGAUUCCUGUAAAACAAAGGGUAACUAUCGGAAUCAAUGAAUUCCAUUCCGAUUCCAUAGUUUAAAAUAGGAGAACCAAACAUGCCCUAAAUGGAUUUGGCCAUUCUCAUUCCGGAGUGGAAUGGAAAUCGGAAUUUGAUUCCUAUAAAACAAACGGCAACUAUCGGAAUCAAUGAAUUCCAUUCAGAUUUCAUAGUUUAAAAUAGGUGAACCAAA